GCUGCGGUGCUCGUCGUGACUGUGAGCAGAGCCCAGGUGCAGCAGGAGCCGUCGGCAGUGACCAGCGAGGGCACCGGCAUCAACAUUACCUGCUCACACCCCAACAUACAGGCCGAUUCCAUCCACUGGUACCGUCAGUUCCCGGGCCGAGGCCCCGCAUUCCUCGUCAGCGCCUUCAAAGACUCCAAGGAGGUGGUGGACCCGGCGGGGUGGCUGUCGGUAUCGGCAGACCGCCGCUCCAGCGCCCUGUGGCUCACGCAGCCCAGGCUCGGGGAUGCGGCGGUGUAUUACUGCGCCGUGAACCCACGGGGAGAGGAGCCGGGGCUGCGGCCGGGCACGAACCUCAGAGGGCGGGGCCGGGCGAGAGUGGGAGCGUAGUCCCGUCCGGGCCCGCAGGGGGCGCUGCGUCCAGGGCCGCCAAACUCCAUCCUGACCAGGAUGAACUUCCCUGAGUUCUCGAGAGAAUUGAGCACGGCACCCGCAGCAGCGAUUGAUGGAGGCCAGUGUGAGUCAGACACAGUUAUGUCUGAAGUGGGCAAAAUGCCAUAACUGGCAACACGAGCUGUGUUGGACAGCGCAGUGACCUCCUCACAUUUACACCACAUCUGCUAUGCUCUCCUGCCUCCCCAGUGCUGCGCUGAUGAGAGCAGGAGUAGCCCUGUUCCUAAGCAGGGUGGCUGCAAAAGGUCAAAUUGAACAUUGGCAGUAAGCUCAGACUUCAAGGUCUGUAAACAAGGCCUGCAAUACAGAUAACAGCUAAGCUUUAAUAGAAUCAUAGAAUGGCUUGUCUUGGAAGGGACCUCAAGCUCCGACCCUCCUGCCAGAGGCAGGGCCAUCAACCUCCACAUCUAGUACGAGACCAGGCUGCCCAGGACCCCAUCCAUCCUGGCCUUGAACACCUCCAAGGACGGGGCAUUCACAGCCUCUCUUGGCAGCCUGUUUCAGCACCUCACCACUCUCUUAGUAAUGAACUUCCCCCUGAUAUCCAACCGAAAUCUUCUCUCCUUCAUCUGAGAACCAUGUCCCCUUGUCCUGCCAUUAUCUACCCUUGUAAAGAGUUGACUCCCCUCCUGUUUGUAGGCUCCCCUUAGGCACAGAAAGGCUGCAAUGAGGUCACCCCGCAGCCUUUCUAACAAAGCCCUCCAAGAGUACAGAAAGGUUUUUUAUGAUAGUACUUUUUUCCCAGCCAAUGACCAAAAAAUGUCACGGUUAACCCCAGUUAGGCCCAGUUCCAUGUCAGGAGGCGAAACGACCCAUGGUCCUAGGCCCUGAGAAAGGGGGAAGAGGGAUAGAGAAAAGGUAGGGAGAUGGGCCUAAAAACAAAGCAUCAGAAACAUGCUAAUCAUGAAAACUGAUUUACUAAAUAUUAUAGCAGAAUGUGAGAUAACACAAUGUAACAUAAUAUAACUGGAAUUGAAGCUAAUAAACCAAAUAAAUGAGAGAGAGUUUCCAAAAUCUAAAAGUCUUACUCUAAUGCUGAAGACAAGAUGGCUA
Molecule: non-coding RNA, 1494 nt
Organism: Numida meleagris (helmeted guineafowl)
Lineage: Eukaryota; Metazoa; Chordata; Aves; Galliformes; Numididae
Source: the annotation of a RefSeq genome assembly